Molecule: transfer-messenger RNA, 356 nt
Filed under: Methylomagnum ishizawai
Lineage: Bacteria; Pseudomonadati; Pseudomonadota; Gammaproteobacteria; Methylococcales; Methylococcaceae
Description: Standard tmRNA
Rfam family: transfer-messenger RNA
About the family: Bacterial tmRNA, also known as 10Sa RNA or SsrA, is named for its dual tRNA and mRNA-like properties.
Source: RNAcentral
GGGGGUGACUUGGCUUCGACGUGGAUUACAAAACCUUAGGUGCAUGCCGAGGUGCGGAUUACCUCGUAAAACAAUUCGCAAUCUUAUAGUUGCCAACGACGACAACUACGCUCUGGCUGCUUAAGUCAGCCAGCCUCUGACCAGGGUUUGCUUACGGACGCUGACUCAGGGGUAACACAAUCAUAAGCUCGCGAGGAGGCACGUCCGGGGCCGAAUCGCUAAAAAUCACGGAAUCGCCGUUCUCUCGCCCUGCCGUUCGGGUGAAGCGCGGUUAAAAAUCAAUAGAGCCGGAUAAGCAUGUAGAGCCGAGGGCGGAGGAUUUGCGGACGCGGGUUCAAUUCCCGCCACCUCCACCA